AUACUUACCUGGCAGGGGAGACACCAUGAUCACGAAGGUGGUUUUCCCAGGGCGAGGCUGAUCCAUUGCACUGGGGAUCUGCUGACCCCUGCGAUUUCCCCAAAUGAGGGAAACUCAACUGUAUGGUUUGUGUUGGUGGGGGGUUGCAUCCAUGCUUUCCUCCC
Molecule: small nuclear RNA, 164 nt
Filed under: Dasypus novemcinctus (nine-banded armadillo)
Lineage: Eukaryota; Metazoa; Chordata; Mammalia; Cingulata; Dasypodidae
Description: U1 spliceosomal RNA (ENSDNOG00000039162.1)
Rfam family: U1 spliceosomal RNA
About the family: U1 is a small nuclear RNA (snRNA) component of the spliceosome (involved in pre-mRNA splicing). Its 5' end forms complementary base pairs with the 5' splice junction, thus defining the 5' donor site of an intron. There are significant differences in sequence and secondary structure between metazoan and yeast U1 snRNAs, the latter being much longer (568 nucleotides as compared to 164 nucleotides in human).
Source: RNAcentral